Molecule: long non-coding RNA, 909 nt
Organism: Macrosteles quadrilineatus (aster leafhopper)
Lineage: Eukaryota; Metazoa; Arthropoda; Insecta; Hemiptera; Cicadellidae
Exons: 2
Source: RefSeq, a predicted model, not a curated record
UAAAUGUGGCUGUGUGAAAGCUCACAGAUUUCUGUUUCAGUUACGGCAAUAAUAUGAAUUAUAUAAUACAAUUAAUGGCUUAUAUUUUUAGACACUCAACUCAAUGGUGAUGAAGAAAGAAGACAGCUGGCUUCAACAAUGAACAAUGAACUGAUCAACAUCCUGUGUGAAAUUAAAAAUUUUCCUCCUUCUCUAUUGAGACAUGGCAGCUUAAACACCUUGAAUUCAGUGAGGGUAUAAUCCCUAACAUUUAAAAAGUCAAAGUGAUUAAAAUUAUUUAACUUAACACUAACUUAACAACAGAAGAACAGUUUAGCCUUUUCUAUAUAUUUUAUUUUCCUAAAUUUGUACUGCCACCUGAGAUUUAUAUUAAUUGGACACUGUUACUGAAGAUCUGGUGAGAACUCUCCAUUUUGUAUAAGGCUUAUCUUAACUUCAAGAAAUUCAACUUAAUACAGACCUAUUUUAUUUACUUUCUGAUCAAACCUAAUUAUUUGAAUUCAAAAACUACUUUAUUUUCAUUAAGAAUAAUCCCAGAAAAACAAUUUGAACAAGAGAACUAAAUUCAACUUUGAUAAAUUUUUCACAUUCUAGGCCUAUUCAUUGUUGGACUAUUUAACUUACCUACCCAAGCCUAAGGGCAAUAUCAAAAUUCCAUUUUUCAUAAUAAUUGACAUGUUUUAUUUUUCAUAAAAAUAUUUGAAGAUCUUUUUAGCCAGCCGAGUUCCCCUCCCUGAGAAGAUUUAUGUAAUUAAACUUAUAUCUUAUUGUAAACUCAUUGUUCUGUUUUACUGAGCUAGGCUAAACCAAUGAUGGCGACCCUGUAUCUGUUCAUUUAAAUAUCAAACCCAUUCAUCAUUGUAACAUCCUAACUUAUUCUUUGUUCAUUAAAUUGGUGUUGUAAAGAAA